GUAGGUGGCAAGCGUUGUCCGGAAUUAUUGGGCGUAAAGCGCGCGCAGGCGGUUCUUUAAGUCUGAUGUGAAAGCCCGCGGCUCAACCGUGGAGGGUCAUUGGAAACUGGAGAACUUGAGUACAGAAGAGGAAAGCGGAAUUCCACGUGUAGCGGUGAAAUGCGUAGAGAUGUGGAGGAACACCAGUGGCGAAGGCGGCUUUCUGGUCUGCAACUGACGCUGAGGCGCGAAAGCGUGGGGGGAGCAAACAGGAUUAGAUACCCUGGUAGUCCACGCCGUAAACGAUGAGUGCUAAGUGUUAGGGGGUUUCCGCCCCCCCCUUAGUGCUGCAGCUAACGCAUUAAGCACUCCCGCCUGGGAGUACGGCCGCAAGGCUG
RNAcentral lists this ribosomal RNA (377 nucleotides) under uncultured organism. Its description in RNAcentral is "partial 16S ribosomal RNA". It matches the Rfam family "Bacterial small subunit ribosomal RNA", at positions 527 to 896 of the family's 1533-position model. The record is from RNAcentral.